GACGAACUGUCCUAACGUUGUUCGGAAUCACUGGGCUUAAAGGGCGCGUAGGCGGUCCGACAAGUCAGGGGUGAAAUCCUGCAGCUUAACUGCAGAAGUGCCUCUGAUACUGUCGGUCUGGAGGGAGAUAGGGGUGUGCGGAACUUCCAGUGGAGCGGUGAAAUGCGUUGAUAUUGGAAGGAACGCCGGAGGCGAAAGCGGCGCACUGGAUCUCUUCUGACGCUGAGGCGCGAAAGCUAGGGGAGCAAACGGG
RNAcentral lists this ribosomal RNA (253 nucleotides) under uncultured bacterium. RNAcentral's name for it is "partial 16S ribosomal RNA". It matches the Rfam family "Bacterial small subunit ribosomal RNA", at positions 524 to 776 of the family's 1533-position model. The record is from RNAcentral.